CGCGUAGGCGGCUUAGCAAGUCAGAUGUGAAAGCCCCGGGCUUAACUCGGGAAUUGCACCUGAAACUGCUUUGCUUGAGUCCUGGAGGGGAUAGUGGAAUUCCCAGUGUAGCGGUGAAAUGCGUAGAUAUUGGGAGGAACACCUGCGGCGAAGGCGGCUAUCUGGACAGUGACUGACGCUGAGGCGCGAAAGCUAGAGGAGCGAACG
RNAcentral lists this ribosomal RNA (207 nucleotides) under uncultured Acidobacteriota bacterium. RNAcentral describes it as "uncultured Acidobacteria bacterium partial 16S ribosomal RNA". It matches the Rfam family "Bacterial small subunit ribosomal RNA", at positions 568 to 774 of the family's 1533-position model. The record is from RNAcentral. Lineage: Bacteria; Pseudomonadati; Acidobacteriota.